GACGAACGCUGGCGGCGUGCUUAACACAUGCAAGUCGAACGAUGAAGCCCAGCUUGCUGGGUGGAAGAGUGGCGAACGGGUGAGUAACACGUGAGUAACCUGCCCCGAACUCUGGGAUAAGCACUGGAAACGGUGUCUAAUACUGGAUAUGACCCAUACAGGCAUCUGUUGUGGGUGGAAAGAUUUAUCGGUUCGGGAUGGGCUCGCGGCCUAUCAGCUAGAUGGUGAGGUAAUGGCUCACCAUGGCGACGACGGGUAGCCGGCCUGAGAGGGUGACCGGCCACACUGGGACUGAGACACGGCCCAG
Molecule: ribosomal RNA, 307 nt
Filed under: uncultured bacterium
Lineage: Bacteria
Description: bacterial SSU rRNA
Rfam family: Bacterial small subunit ribosomal RNA
Source: RNAcentral